This 3150-nucleotide ribosomal RNA is filed under the name Triticum aestivum (bread wheat). RNAcentral describes it as "partial small subunit ribosomal RNA". Lineage: Eukaryota; Viridiplantae; Streptophyta; Magnoliopsida; Poales; Poaceae. The record is from RNAcentral.
AUGACACCAGAUGAUAACGCCCUUAUCACUUUAAAGAAAGGCAGCAAGCUUAUCAAGUAUAGUCGGAAGGGAAAACCCAAGAUUCGUGAGUUCAGACUUUCUGGUGACGAAACAGCUUUAGUUUGGUACUCGCACAGCAAGGAAAAGUGCCUCAGACUGUCUUCCGUGUCUAAAAUCAUACCUGGACAGAGAACUGCUGUUUUUAGGAGGUUUCUACGCCCUGAGAAGGAUUACCUAUCAUUUUCACUAAUAUACAAGAACGGCCAACGUUCCCUUGAUCUGGUUUGCAAGGAUCAAGCAGAAGUUGAAGUGUGGUUUUCAACACUUGAGACACUGAUUACUGCAUACCGUGUAAAUUUUCCAACAGAUAGUGAUAGAAUAUCAUUUUCUGAUGAAGUGUCCCAAUAUCAAGAUGCGUAUGAUACAAGAUUAGAUAUUGCCUCAAGUAUUAACCGCACUUAUUACUCAGCUGGUUAUGGCGCAGCCUAUUCAUUGAAUUCUUCAAGAGCAGAUGUUAGAUCAGAUCGUGCAAAUAUGCUAAGAGUAAGUACGGGAGACAGUAGUCGGAUUAGUAUUUCCAGCAGCAUCCCUAGUUCUUCCAGUCAAGCUUCUGGACCAGAUGAUAUAGAAUCCCUUGGUGAUGUUUAUGUAUGGGGUGAGGUGUGGACUGAUGUGCUCCCCCCAGAAGGAUCCUCAAACUUUUUGUGCUCCAAAACAGAUGUUUUGAUUCCCAAACCUCUUGAGUCGGAUGUUGUUUUGGACGUACAGCAGAUAUCAUGUGGUUCGAGGCACAUUGCUCUUACUACCAGACAAGGAGAAGUAUUCACUUGGGGUGAAGAACUUGGUGGGCGGCUUGGUCAUGGAACUGAUGAAGAUAUUAGUCGCCCCAAACUUGUUGAAUCUUUAGCAGUGUCCAACGUGGAGUAUAUUGCAUGCGGGGAGUUUCAUACUUGUGCUGUAACUGCCUCUGGUGAUUUGUACAAUUGGGGUGAUGGUUCUUACAAUGCCGGAUUGCUAGGAGAUGGCAUUGGGGCUAGCCAUUGGCUUCCAAAGCGAGUGUCAGGACCUUUAGAAGGGCUUCAAGUGUUGUCUGUUGCAUGUGGCUCAUGGCAUUCAGCACUUGCCAUGUCAAGUGGAAAAGUAUUCACUUUUGGUGAUGGGACAUUUGGUGCUCUUGGGCAUGGAAAUCGUGAUAGUGUUGCCUACCCAAAGGAAGUUGAAUCUUUGAGUGGAUUCAGAACAAUGAAAGUUGCAUGUGGUAUUUGGCAUUCCGCAGCAAUUGUGGAGACCAAUAGUCAGACAGGCGUGAAUUUGGUAUCCAGGAAGCUAUUUACCUGGGGUGAUGGAGAUAAAAACCGCUUAGGUCAUGGAGACAAGGAGGCUCGGCUGGUUCCCACCGUUGUUCAAGCCCUUGUUGAUAAUAAUUUCCAUCAGGUAGCCUGUGGACAUAGUAUGACUGUUGCACUCGCCACAUCUGGUCAUGUCUUCACAAUGGGUAGCUCUAGUAAUGGUCAACUUGGGAAUCCAAAAGCCGAUGGUAAACUACCUUGCCAAGUACAAGACAAGUUGAACAGUGAGUUGGUUGAAGAGAUCUCAUGUGGCUCUAACCAUGUUGCAGUCUUGACUUCACGGAGUGAAGUAUAUACUUGGGGUAUGGGGGCCAAUGGAAGGCUGGGACAUGGUGGCAUUGAAGAUAAGAAGAAACCAACUAUUGUGGACGCAUUAAAAGACCGCCACGUUAAAAGUAUAGCAUGUGGUUCAAACUUUACGACAUGCAUUUGCAUACAUAAGUGGGUUUCAGGUGCAGAUCAGUCUGUCUGCUCAGGGUGUAGGCAACCCUUUGGUUUCACAAGAAAGAGGCACAAUUGUUACAAUUGCGGGCUUGUUCAUUGCCAUGCAUGUAGUUCAAGGAAGGUCCUGAAGGCUGCGUUGGCACCAACUCCUGGCAAGCCACAUCGUGUAUGUGAUUCAUGUUUCAUGAAACUGAAAGCUGCAGAUAGCGGCGGCACCAGUAGUCCGUUUAAUAACAAAAAGAGUGUCAUGACUCGUCGUUCUGUUGAUAUCAAAGAUAAGUCAGAGAGGCCAGACAUAAGGCCUUCAAGGCUAGCAACAGCAGCAACAGCAGAGCCAGUCAAGUAUGCAGAUGCAAAAUCAGUUAGAAGUGACAUAAAACCUGACCCUGUGUCCAAUGCGAGGGCACCCCAAGGUCCUGCUACAGCUUUGGCAGUCCCAACUACUUUUGUAAAGCCUAUGGGAAUGGGAGGAAUGGGCGGAAUGGGGGGGAUGGGCGGAAUGGGGGGAAUGGGCGCAAUGGGUGGAAUGGCUAUGGGAAUGGGAAUGGGAGUAAACAUGGCGCCAAUGGGAAUGGGCAUGCCUGUGGUGUCACAAUCUCAUAAGAAGCCAAGUCCAGCUCCAACAAUGUCAAGUGCUCUGUCUGUUAAAAGUGACACCAAAGAUAUCGAUAACCUGAAGAAGACUAAUGAGACGCUGAAUCAAGACAUCUCAAAGUUGCAAACUCAGGUUAAUAAGCUAAAACAGAAAUGUGAAGUCCAAGAUGAGCAACUACAGAAAUCAGAAAGAAGAGCUAAAAGCGCUGCCUCUCUAGCUGCAGAAGAAUCUAGCAGACGCAAUUCCAUGUUGGACUUUAUUAGGUUUCUUGACACAGAGCUCAAGGGGCUUGUAGAUAAGGUGCCUGCUGAAUUCUCUGACAGUAUAAAAGACUUGCAAAGCCAAUCGGAGAAAUAUCUCACCGGGCAGUGUAGUCAUUCACCGGAGGCCAUUUCUGGGCAUGAACAGUCUCGCCUUCCCAUCGGCGGGAUGCAUGAAAUAACACACCACGGCAGGUCCACUAGCAUGGGUAACUUGGAUGGCAGUUCCUUGACAAGCGAAUCUCCAUGCCAUCGAUUCAUGGACAGCAACGGGAGGGCUCCAGGCGACUUUGCACCAAAGUAUGGCACCCAUGGUGAGGUGCAGCUGAUCGAGCAGUUUGAGCCAGGAGUUUAUGUCACACUUAUCCAGCUGAGAGACGGCACCAAAGUAUUCAAGCGUGUCCGGUUCAGCAAGAGGAGAUUCGCCGAGCAGCAGGCUGAGGAGUGGUGGAGGGAGAACCAGGAGAGGGUGUUCAGGAAAUACAACCACGCACCUACCUAG